Molecule: ribosomal RNA, 253 nt
Filed under: uncultured bacterium
Lineage: Bacteria
Description: partial 16S ribosomal RNA
Rfam family: Bacterial small subunit ribosomal RNA
Source: RNAcentral
CACGGAGGGGGCAAGCGUUGUUCGGAAUCAUUGGGCGUAAAGGGCGCGUAGGCGGCUGAUCAAGUCGGGUGUGAAAUCCCUCGGCUCAACCGAGGAACUGCAUUCGAUACUGGUCGGCUAGAGUCCGGGAGGGGAUGGUGGAAUUCCCAGUGUAGCGGUGAAAUGCGUAGAUAUUGGGAAGAACACCGGUGGCGAAGGCGGCCAUCUGGACCGGUACUGACGCUGAGGCGCGAAAGCCAGGGGAGCGAAUGGG